GAAAUGCGAUAAGUAAUGUGAAUUGUAGAAUUCCGUGAAUCAUCGAAUCUUUGAACGCACAUUGCGCCCUCUGGCAUUCCGGGGGGCAUGCCUGUCCGAGCGUCAUUACGCACCCUCAAGCCCGGCUUGUGUGAUGGGCCCCGGCGUCUCGUUCGCGAGACGGGCCCGAAAGGCAGCGGCGGCGUCGACCCGAUGAGCCCGAGCGUAUGGGGACUUCUGUCACACGUUCGCGGUGCGGACCGGCGCCUGCUUGACUUUUCUGAUUAUCCAGGUUGACCUCGGAUCAGGUAGGGAUACCCGCUGAACUUAAGC
RNAcentral lists this unclassified non-coding RNA (312 nucleotides) under plant metagenome. Its description in RNAcentral is "partial contains 5.8S ribosomal RNA, internal transcribed spacer 2, and large subunit ribosomal RNA". The stretch from base 1 to 105 matches the Rfam family "5.8S ribosomal RNA", at positions 50 to 154 of the family's 154-position model. The record is from RNAcentral.